This 934-nucleotide ribosomal RNA is filed under the name uncultured bacterium. RNAcentral describes it as "bacterial SSU rRNA". It matches the Rfam family "Bacterial small subunit ribosomal RNA", at positions 8 to 916 of the family's 1533-position model. The record is from RNAcentral.
AGAGUUUGAUCCUGGCUCAGAACGAACGCUGGCGGCGUGCCUAAUACAUGCAAGUCGAACGAGAAAGUGUAGCAAUACAUUAGUAAAGUGGCAGACGGGUGAGUAAUACAUAGGUAAUCUCCCCUCAAGAUGGGAAUAACCUUCCGAAAGGAGGGCUAAUACCGAAUGAGACCACAGUGACUACGGUCACAGUGGCCAAAGGAUGACCUCUACUUGUAAGUUAUCGCUUGGGGAUGAGCUUAUGCACCAUCAGCUAGUUGGUAAGGUAACGGCUUACCAAGGCUUUGACGGUUAGCUGAUCUGAGAGGUUGAUCAGCCACACUGGAACUGAGACACGGUCCAGACUCCUACGGGAGGCAGCAGUAGGGAAUAUUGCGCAAUGGAGGAAACUCUGACGCAGCGACGCCGCGUGGGUGACGAAGGUCUUCGGAUCGUAAAGCCCUGUCGGAUGGGAAGAAAAACAUUAUGGCUAAUAUCCAUAGUGCUUGACGGUACCAUAAGAGGAAGCCCCGGCUAACUUCGUGCCAGCAGCCGCGGUAAUACGAAGGGGGCAAGCGUUGUUCGGAAUCAUUGGGCGUAAAGCGCGUGUAGGUGGUCUAUUAAGUCGGGUGUGAAAUCCCUGGGCUCAACCGAGGAAGUGCACUUGAAACUACCUAGCUAGAGGACGGCAGAGGAAGGUGGAAUUCCUAGUGUAGAGGUGAAAUUCGUAGAUAUUAGGAGGAAUACCGGUGGCGAAGGCGGCCUUCUGGGCCGUUCCUGACACUGAGACGCGAAAGCGUGGGGAGCAAACAGGAUUAGAUACCCUGGUAGUCCACGCUGUAAACGAUGGGUACUAGGUGUUGUGGGAAUUGACCCCCGCAGUGCCGAAGCUAACGCAUUAAGUACCCCGCCUGGGAAGUACGGCCGCAAGGUUAAAACUCAAAGGAAUUGACGG